RNAcentral lists this non-coding RNA (45 nucleotides) under Schistosoma mansoni. Lineage: Eukaryota; Metazoa; Platyhelminthes; Trematoda; Strigeidida; Schistosomatidae. The record is from RNAcentral.
GGCUAGCAGUGGAAUCCAGGAUAGGACGAAACGCGCGUCCUGGAU